UACGUAGGGGGCAAGCGUUAUCCGGAUUUACUGGGUGUAAAGGGAGCGUAGACGGUUAUGUAAGUCUGGAGUGAAAGCCCGGGGCCCAACCCCGGGACUGCUUUUGAAACUGUGUGACUGGAGUGCAGGAGAGGUAAGCGGAAUUCCUAGUGUAGCGGUGAAAUGCGUAGAUAUUAGGAGGAACACCAGUGGCGGAGGCGGCUUACUGGACGGUAACUGACGCUGAAGCACGAAAGCGUGGGUAUCGAACAGG
Molecule: ribosomal RNA, 253 nt
Filed under: uncultured Eubacteriales bacterium
Lineage: Bacteria; Bacillati; Bacillota; Clostridia; Eubacteriales
Description: uncultured Clostridiales bacterium partial 16S ribosomal RNA
Rfam family: Bacterial small subunit ribosomal RNA
Source: RNAcentral